Long non-coding RNA from Leptopilina boulardi, 2790 nucleotides. RefSeq lists it as uncharacterized. NCBI's taxonomy places the organism in Eukaryota, Metazoa, Arthropoda, Insecta, Hymenoptera, Figitidae. The record is from RefSeq and is a predicted model, not a curated record. The transcript is spliced from 7 exons.
UAUUUAAAAUUAAUUAUCUCAUAAAAGAAAAGUAUAUAGAUAUGUAUAUGGUGUGUGUAUGUAUGUGUAUGUGUGUGUAUACAUCUUUUAAAGAAAUGAUCUACAUGCGUUGUUUAAUAUUAUCGACCAUAAUUAGCAUUGCUCUUCUUCACUGCAGUCGAUGCGUUAUCAACCCGUCGGAUAAUUGAUCAACUUAGAAUUAAUUAUGAGGCGUCGAUAUUAGAGAAUAUCACAUUCUCAGUAAAGCAAUUUAUAUACAAAUAAUUAAACAGUAGUUUAACGUUUGCGCAAUAACUAAUGGAAAGAUUUAAAUAAUAAUGAACAAACAUAUUUUUCGUACCUUUCUGAGAAGGCACAUAUUUAUAAUAUAGUAAAUAUAUAAGAAAGUAUGUCAUGAGAUGAUAAACUUUGAUCGAAGAUAAAAAUUGCAAUAAUAAUUAAAAUAGGUAAUUGUUUUAACUAAAAAACACAUUGAAUAACCUUUUGAUCUUACAAUUUUUAUCAUAAUUAAAUUAGAUCAUUUCAUUGUUUAAAAAAGUAUAUAAACCACUGUUAAGAGGCUUAUAGUUGUCAUAUUACUCCGGUGAGUUUCUGCCCGAACAGUAUCGUUGAGUCGGCCCUUCAAUCGUGAAAUUGUACUUUUAAAUCAGCGAUAAUAAAAAGAGUCUUGUUUCUUAUAAUUUAUAUAAGAUCGAAGGUAAUUUUCAUUGAAUUUUAUAAGUUCAUUUAUUUCGAUUGUCGUAUAAUAUUAUUUUAUGAAAGUUACUUCCGAUUAUUAAGGAAACAAGUUUCUUUUUGUAUUAAGGUACAGUGUCGAAAAGUAAUUCUUAAAUAGUAUUGAAUAGUCGUUGGUGCAUAAGUGCUAAAUAACGAACUUAAUUAUUGUCAUCCUGCGAUACAAUUGUGUAAAGCCGGUUGCAUUGUAACAAUCCAGAACCAACUUCAACAUUAUAUCUUUUAUGUAAAUACCAUAGAAAAAGAAGUUGUCCAGGAUGAGGGGUAAUUAAAAGAGACGGUAAUUUCAAACUUACCGUGCAACACUCACAUACGCAAAACGAACGUGAAGAAAGAAUUUUAUCAUUUAGAAGGGAGUUACAUAACAGCUCCAUUAGCCAGCCAAACACUCCUCGAAGUAUUUAUCAGACUUUCAGUCCUUUGCAUGAAAAUUUUGAAAAUGAUCUUCCAUUUAAUGCCACACAAGCAAAUAUGACAAGAUGGAAAAAUUCACACAGUCCAACGGAAAUUCCGAAUGACUUAAAUCAUUUUUCAGCAACAAUAAACAAACAAAUUUGGAUGAAUUUACGUAAUUAUAUUGGAGGAUCACUUGAAUACAUUUUAAUAACUGGCGAUGAGUUUAAUUCUAUUUUAAUUAUUGAUCCGCAAUUCUCAAGACCAUUACUAGAAAUUGGCAACUUUUUAAUUCAUAUUUCGAUAACAACAAUUCCUUCUUCUGUAUGGUGCAAACAAAUGUUAUCCUUAAUAUGCGUCAAAAGUGGCUAUCUAAUCCCAUGUGCCUGGGCACUCAUGGACACAAAUUCUACACAAGCAUACACAGCUAUUUUUGAAAAAAUAAGAGACAUCACUCCAGAGUUUAAAAUGAUUUCGGUUCUAACAAAUUUUUCAAACUCAUUGCACACAAGCAUUUAACAAGUUUUUCCUGCAGCCAUAAUUUCGGGAUGUUUGUUUCACUAUCAGGAGGAAGUUUACAAACUGACUAUCCAGCAUGGGCUAAUUAAUUAUUUAAUUCAAAAUGAUGACCGAGAAAUUAAGGAAUUUCUACAAUUUAUCUUCACUUUGCCACUUUUGCCAUCUCAAGUAAUUAAUUAAACAUUUUCUGAAAAAAUUGAAAGUCUUAGUGCAAAUGCUUAUAUCGUGCUGCAAGUAUUUUUCUUAAACUAUGACCGAAUUUGGUUAAGACAAGUCACUGCAAAUAAAUUCAGCGUCCACAAAAAUUUUGAACGAUGUACUGACAUGUUCGAAAAUUACAAUACAACCUUAAUAUCAGAAUUUGGGCUUUAUCCUAUGGUGUGGAAAUUUCCAGUAGCACUUUGCAAAAUACAAGCUCAUGGGUUCAGAAACAAAAAACUAUCGACGAUGAAAAUUUAAAUGGAAUUAAUGCACUGAAAUUAUUAAAUAGACGAAGUAUAUCAAGAAUUAGAAAUUCAUGGAAUAAUUUAGAGUUGUCAACAAUCACAAAAACUGAAUUCAUUAAUCAAUGUCGUAGAAUUUACGCAGAAUCGAGAAUUGAGUAUUUCAAUGUAAGUCUUGAAGGAUUUGAAACAGAGGACAUGUUAGAAUUAAUCAAUUUUUCUAACAAUGACGCUGAUGUUGAACAUAGCCCAACUUCUUGCAUGGACCUUGUAAUGGUAUUACAUAGCAAGACAUGCAAUAUUACACUGCAAUAUUGGAGCAAGCCUCCUGCAAGAUUAAAACGUCAACAUUGCACGGCAAUCUUGAGACAGCAUUACGUCACAGUUACUUUGGGGGUAUCAAAAAGCGUUGCAGAUCAAUUUGAUUUAAAAAAUAGGUCAAAAUGAUCCAAAAUUUGUAUUAUUUUACUGCAACAUUUGAUGUCAAUUGUUUGUUCUGAAACGUCAAUGACAUAACCAUCGUUGAGUUUAUGAAAAAAUUGCAUUUUCUAUUUGAAGUUUUAGUAAAAAUUGUUAAAGCACUCGACUUUGAAUUUAAAAAAAAAUUUUGUUUAUUCAAUUCUGUUUUGUGCAACUAAAUCUUAAUUCUUUGAAAUAAGGUUGUAUAAUCAAACCAUAACCGCUUGCUUAGAAUUGCUUA